This 403-nucleotide ribosomal RNA is filed under the name uncultured cyanobacterium. RNAcentral describes it as "bacterial SSU rRNA". It matches the Rfam family "Bacterial small subunit ribosomal RNA", at positions 356 to 777 of the family's 1533-position model. The record is from RNAcentral. Lineage: Bacteria; Bacillati; Cyanobacteriota.
GGGGAAUAUUGCGCAAUGGGCGAAAGCCUGACGCAGCGACGCCGCGUGAGUGAAGAAGUUUUUCGGAAUGUAAAGCUCUGUCAAGAGGGAAAAUUGUGAUGGUACCUCUAAAGGAAGCCCCGGCUAAUUACGUGCCAGCAGCCGCGGUAAUACGUAAGGGGCGAGCGUUAUCCGGAUUUAUUGGGCAUAAAGGGCGCGUAGGUGGCAUUUUAAGUCAGAUGUGAAAGGCCUUGGCUCACCCAAGGUUUGCAUUUGAAACUGAUUUGCUAGAGGUCAGUAGAGGAAAGCGGAACUCACAGUGUAGCGGUGAAAUGCGUAGAUAUUGUGAGGAACACCAGUUGCGAAGGCGGCUUUCUGGCCUGAUCCUGACACUGAGGCGCGAAAGCGUGGGGAGCAAACAGGA